Molecule: transfer RNA, 73 nt
Filed under: Candidatus Marsarchaeota G2 archaeon OSP_D
Lineage: Archaea; Thermoproteati; Thermoproteota
Also listed under: 4 other names
Description: tRNA-Ala
Rfam family: tRNA
About the family: Transfer RNA (tRNA) molecules are approximately 80 nucleotides in length. Their secondary structure includes four short double-helical elements and three loops (D, anti-codon, and T loops). Further hydrogen bonds mediate the characteristic L-shaped molecular structure. tRNAs have two regions of fundamental functional importance: the anti-codon, which is responsible for specific mRNA codon recognition, and the 3' end, to which the tRNAs corresponding amino acid is attached (by aminoacyl-tRNA synthetases). tRNAs cope with the degeneracy of the genetic code in two manners: having more than one tRNA (with a specific anti-codon) for a particular amino acid; and 'wobble' base-pairing, i.e. permitting non-standard base-pairing at the 3rd anti-codon position.
Source: RNAcentral
GGGCUGGUAGCUCAGUUGGCAGAGCGCCCGCCUUGCACGUGGGAGGCCGCGGGUUCAAAUCCCGCCCAGUCCA